This 254-nucleotide ribosomal RNA is filed under the name uncultured bacterium. Its description in RNAcentral is "partial 16S ribosomal RNA". It matches the Rfam family "Bacterial small subunit ribosomal RNA", at positions 524 to 776 of the family's 1533-position model. The record is from RNAcentral.
GACGAACCGUGCGAACGUUAUUCGGAAUCACUGGGCUUAAAGCGCGUGUAGGCGGGCCGGCACGUCGAUGGCUGAAAUCCCCCGGCUCAACCGGGGAAGUGGCCUCGAUACGACCGGCCUGGAGGGGGGUAGGGGGCGCCGGAACUUCCGGUGGAGCGGUGAAAUGCGUUGAGAUCGGAAGGAACGCCCGUGGCGAAAGCGGGCGCCUGGACCACACCUGACGCUGAGACGCGAAAGCCAGGGGAGCGAACGGG